Molecule: unclassified non-coding RNA, 332 nt
Filed under: soil metagenome
Description: partial contains 5.8S ribosomal RNA, internal transcribed spacer 2, and large subunit ribosomal RNA
Rfam family: 5.8S ribosomal RNA (bases 1-120)
Source: RNAcentral
GAUGAAGAACGUAGCAAAAUGCGAUAAGUAAUGUGGAUUGCAGAAUUCAGUGAAUCAUCGAAUCUUUGAACGCACAUUGCGCCCGCCAGUAUUCUGGCGGGCAUGCCUGUUCGAGCGUCAUUUCAACCCUCAAGCACAGCUUGGUGUUGGGACUCGCGUUAAUUCGCGUUCCCCAAAUUGAUUGGCGGUCACGUCGAGCUUCCAUAGCGUAGUAGUAAAACCCUCGUUACUGGUAAUCGUCGCGGCCACGCCGUUAAACCCCAACUUCUGAAUGUUGACCUCGGAUCAGGUAGGAAUACCCGCUGAACUUAAGCAUAUCAAUAAGCGGAGGA